CAAUGAUAACAGCUUACCUCUGAGGAUAGUUGUGAAGUCCCCAGAUAGCAGAUGACUGGUAGGAAGAUGAGGCAAGUUUGCGGUCCAUUGUCAUGGAUAGUGGAGACAACACUGGGCCAGAAGUGGUAAGACCUGAAUCCAAGACUCAGCUCUGCCACUUGCUAAAUGGGACUUUGAAUAAACCAUUUCUCUGCACUUAAGUUCCUUACCAACAAAACGAGGGAAGUGGCCUACAUGCCUAGAUAUCAACAUUUCAUGUCACGUAGAGAUCUAGCAUCACAAGAAUCCAAGUCAUCCUCUGUUGCCUUUAAGAAAUUAGAAUUAAAGGAAUCAGAAUUGAAGUGAAUCUGACUACACUAAGCCUAUCACUUGUGACAGCCAUGGGAAGAUAUCAUUGGUUGCUGAGGAGCAGAAAUAAGCAGAGACCUAUUGUGUUAGGUUAUCAUUCAUUUCAGACAAAAAGCAGAUCAGCAAGUUUUCAUAUUGCACUAUUUUCAAUGGCUGGAGCAUCAACAUUUUACAACAAGAAAAAAAUUAAAAUUCUUCAACAUUUGGAAAAGAAGUGUUUGUAAAACUUUUCACAUCCAUUCACCAUCCGGAAAAGCAAGGUUUUACAGUGAGGCCUGAUGAUGUCUAGAGUCACCAUGCAUCUUGGAAAAUGACCUCCUAUUUAUUUCUUCUACAGGACACCAUGGUGUUCACCUUUCUACAACUUUACACUUGCUGAGGACAUAUUGUGGAAAAUUAAGAGAAAUAUAUAUGGAUGGCCAAGGCUGUA
Homo sapiens (human) is the source of this 778-nucleotide long non-coding RNA. RefSeq annotates it as long independently transcribed non-coding RNA 2207. NCBI's taxonomy places the organism in Eukaryota, Metazoa, Chordata, Mammalia, Primates, Hominidae. The transcript is spliced from 4 exons. The record is from RefSeq and is marked validated.